Molecule: unclassified non-coding RNA, 1363 nt
Filed under: uncultured Neocallimastigales
Lineage: Eukaryota; Fungi; Neocallimastigomycota; Neocallimastigomycetes; Neocallimastigales
Description: partial contains small subunit ribosomal RNA, internal transcribed spacer 1, 5.8S ribosomal RNA, internal transcribed spacer 2, and large subunit ribosomal RNA
Rfam family: Eukaryotic large subunit ribosomal RNA (bases 611-1363)
Source: RNAcentral
UUUCCGUAGGUGAACUGCGGAAGGAUCAUUAAAAAUUGGUGACUGUAAUUAGGUUAACCCAUUAUAAUGCCUACCCUUUGUGAAUUUGUUUGUUAUGUAAAUUUUUGUCUAUCCUAAAGAAGGUUGGAUAAGUGUAAUAGCUUAAAAACUUUUUUUAGAAUGGCUUAAAGACUUUUUUUAAAAUUAAACUUUUGUAUUCAUUUGUCUAAAUUAAUUUUUAAUAAAUAUUUAAAAACAACUUUUGACAAUGGAUCUCUUGGUUCUCGCAACGAUGAAGACGCAGCAAAAUGCGAUAAGUAAUGUGAAUUGCAGAAUACGUGAAUCAUCAAAUCUUCGAACGCAUAUUGCACUUUUUUAGUUUACUAAAAAGUAUGUCUGUUUGAGUAUCAGUAAAAUAUUCUCAUAAAAUCAUUUGAUUUUAUGGUUAUGAGUGUUUUACAACGAUAAACAAGUUGUUUCACUUUAAAUGGAUUUAAUUGAAAUCGUCGUUGGAACGAUUUUAAUUUUUUAAAAAUUGGAUAAAAUUUCCCGUAAAAAGGAAUAAGCUAUUCAGUUUUUAAAAUUUAAUAGUUUCAUACGGUAAGUUAAAGGAAAUUAUUUAUAAAUAACUUGAUCUCAAAUCAGAUAAGAGUACCCGCUGAACUUAAGCAUAUCAAUAAGCGGAGGAAAAGAAACUAACAAGGAUUCCCUUAGUAACGGCGAGUGAAGCGGGAAGAGCUCAAAUUUGAAAUCUUCAAGGUUUACCUUGACGAACUGUAGUUUAAAGAAGUGUUUUCUGUUAGAGGAGUGGCAAAAGUUCUUUGGAAUAGGACAUCAUAGAGGGUGAGAAUCCCGUAUUUGUCAUUCUUUCUAGCUGUGUGAUACACUUUCAAAGAGUCGGAUUGUUUGGGAAUGCAGUCCAAAAUGGGUGGUAAAUUUCAUCUAAAGCUAAUAUUGGCGAGAGACCGAUAGCGAACAAGUACCGUGAGGGAAAGAUGAAAAGAACUUUGAAAAGAGAGUUAAACAGUACGUGAAAUUGUCAAAAGGGAAGCGUUUGACACCAGUGUUGUUUUUCCGAAAUCAAUUGUGCUGGCUGGAUUUGUAGAGUUUGACCUUAUCAGCUUUCUGCUUUUUUCCGGUCUGUGAAUGCACUUUUCGGUUAACAAGUCAACAUCAAUUUCUUUGUUGUAAAAGGGUAAUGGAAGUGGCUUUCUUUCGGAGAAGUGUUUAUAGCCUUUUACCUCUACAUCGGAGAUUGAGGUCUGCAGCGUAGAUCCUUCGGGGUUAGAUACAUUGUGCUAAGUUAUAGCCUGUAUAGACAACUUGUUGACUAUAUCGGUCAUGUAGUUACUCGCUUAUGCUAUUUUACCUACGCUUAGGAUGU